RNAcentral lists this ribosomal RNA (497 nucleotides) under uncultured bacterium. RNAcentral's name for it is "partial 16S ribosomal RNA". It matches the Rfam family "Bacterial small subunit ribosomal RNA", at positions 28 to 507 of the family's 1533-position model. The record is from RNAcentral.
GAUGAACGCUGGCGGCGUGCCUAAUACAUGCAAGUCGAGCGAUCAGACGAGGAGCUUGCUCCUCUGACGUUAGCGGCGGACGGGUGAGUAACACGUGGAUAACCUACCUAUAAGACUGGGAUAACUUCGGGAAACCGGAGCUAAUACCGGAUAAUAUAUUGAACCGCAUGGUUCAAUAGUGAAAGACGGUUUUGCUAUCACUUAUAGAUGGAUCCGCGCCGCAUUAGCUAGUUGGUAAGGUAACGGCUUACCAAGGCAACGAUGCGUAGCCGACCUGAGAGGGUGAUCGGCCACACUGGAACUGAGACACGGUCCAGACUCCUACGGGAGGCAGCAGUAGGGAAUCUUCCGCAAUGGGCGAAAGCUUGACGGAGCAACGCCGCGUGAGUGAUGAAGGUCUUCGGAUCGUAAAACUCUGUUAUUAGGGAAGAACAAAUGUGUAAGUAACUAUGCACGUCUUGACGGUACCUAAUCAGAAAGCCACGGCUAACUACGUG